AGAGGGAUAGCUGGGUCAAAUGAUGGUUCCAUUCCCAGAUUUCCAGGGAAUCUCCAUACUGCUUUCCAGAUUGGCUGCACCAAUUUGCAGUCCCACCAGCAAU
RNAcentral lists this microRNA precursor (103 nucleotides) under Marmota monax (woodchuck). The record is from RNAcentral. Lineage: Eukaryota; Metazoa; Chordata; Mammalia; Rodentia; Sciuridae.